RNAcentral lists this ribosomal RNA (301 nucleotides) under uncultured bacterium. RNAcentral describes it as "partial 16S ribosomal RNA". It matches the Rfam family "Archaeal small subunit ribosomal RNA", at positions 459 to 760 of the family's 1478-position model. The record is from RNAcentral.
CAGCCGCCGCGGGAAUACCAGCACCUCGAGUGGUCAGGAGGUUUAUUGGGCCUAAAGCAUCCGUAGCCGGUUGCAUAAGUUUUCGGUUAAAUCUAUGCGCUUAACGUAUAGGCCGCCGAAAAUACUGUGCAGCUAGGGAGUGGGAGAGGUACACGGUACUCGAUAGGAAGGGGUAAAAUCCUUUGAUCUAUUGAUGACCACCUGUUGCGAAGGCGGUGUACCAGAACACGUUCGACGGUGAGGGAUGAAAGCUGGGGGAGCAAACCGGAUUAGAUACCCCCGUAGUCCCUGUCUCUUAUAC